This is a long non-coding RNA of Condylostylus longicornis, 782 nucleotides long. RefSeq lists it as uncharacterized. The transcript has 3 exons. The record is from RefSeq and is a predicted model, not a curated record. NCBI's taxonomy places the organism in Eukaryota, Metazoa, Arthropoda, Insecta, Diptera, Dolichopodidae.
UGUGUAGUCGUUGUAAUGUAGUAAGUACAUUACAAUCGCUAAUGACAGCAUAUCGUCAGGUAAAUCUUCCGAGUCAAUAACUAUAGGUGGAACAUUUUUGUUUCUUUUGUUGUUGUUAUUUACAUUGUUGCUGGUGUUAUUGCUGCUAAUGUUGCUGGAGUUUGAUGUACCUGCUAUGUUUUGACAAAUUGAGUUUGACUUCAAUAAAAUUUGAAUCCACCUCACUUUCAAUGGAUAAUCUAUCUGAACAUAAAUUAUUCUCACCAUAAUCCAGCUCCAUAUCACUAACGCUAGGAACAUAAGAGCUGGAUGCCUUUUGAUUAAUAUUUUGGUCAGAAUUAUUCUUUGAUAGUAAUUCAUCAACCUGCUUUUGCAAUUUUUGCAACUGCCUUUUCAAAGAAGAAUUAUCUUGCAACAGUUUUUUAUUAGCUUGCACUAAUUUUUGUGUUGCAUUUUUAUAUUACUAUAUCCUUUAUAUUAUUUAUAUCAUCGUUUUUUUGUGCUGAAACCAUGUGGUAAAGUACCACCAGCACUACAGAACAUCCGAUUUUUUAUUGUAUAUAUGUAUUAUACACUUAUAAUGUGCAAUCUACAGUUCGAAUUAUAUCCAAAAUACUUUAAUUUAUUAAGUGACACAAUAGUGAAUAGUUAUUUAUUGAAUAUGACAACUUUUUAAUAAUAGUAAAAGUAAUGCAAAAUUUCACGACUUUCCUCGGCGAGAUAUCGAUCGUAACUCAUUGCGUUAGCUUUAAACAUGAUGUUAUUAAAAUUAGAAAUGUAAA